UUAAUUGAAGCCAAAUACUGAGGUAACUUAUUGUUAAUAAGAAAAUUGAAUUAAUUUCCAAUUAAA
This 66-nucleotide transfer RNA is filed under the name Atkinsoniella wui. RNAcentral's name for it is "tRNA-Asn". The record is from RNAcentral. Lineage: Eukaryota; Metazoa; Arthropoda; Insecta; Hemiptera; Cicadellidae.